CCUANGGGAGGCUGCAGUGGGGAAUCUUGCGCAAUGGGCGAAAGCCUGACGCAGCAACGCCGCGUGCGGGAUGAAGGCUCUCGGGUCGUAAACCGCUUUCAGCAGGGACGAAAAUGACUGUACCUGCAGAAGAAGCCCCGGCUAAAUACGUGCCAGCAGCCGCGGUAAUACGUAUGGGGCAAGCGUUAUCCGGAUUUAUUGGGCGUAAAGAGCGCGUAGGCGGUUUGUUAAGUCAGAUGUGAAAACUGGGGGCUCAACCCGCAGCCUGCAUCUGAAACUGGCAGACUUGAGUCUGGUAGAGGAAAGUGGAAUUCCCAGUGUAGCGGUGAAAUGCGCAGAUAUUGGGAGGAACACCAGAGGCGAAGGCGGCUUUCUGGGCCACGACUGACGCUGAGGCGCGAAAGCUAGGGGAGCAAACAGGAUUAGAUACCCCUNUANUC
Molecule: ribosomal RNA, 440 nt
Filed under: uncultured bacterium
Lineage: Bacteria
Description: bacterial SSU rRNA
Rfam family: Bacterial small subunit ribosomal RNA
Source: RNAcentral